RNAcentral lists this long non-coding RNA (203 nucleotides) under Lathyrus oleraceus (garden pea). RNAcentral's name for it is "Pisum sativum (pea) long non-coding RNA (PSAT_LNC029957)". The record is from RNAcentral. Lineage: Eukaryota; Viridiplantae; Streptophyta; Magnoliopsida; Fabales; Fabaceae.
AAUAAUAAGGGAAUGGUGUAUGCAGGAUUCGAACAUGAGACAUGGGGACGGGAGGCAUGAAGCUUCAACCACUCCCCCGUGACUCUCAAUCUGUCAACUUGUGACAUUGAAAAAUAUAUAAUAAAAACCAAAUGGGAAAAAACAAAAAUGAAAAAACCAAGAAUCAAAACCAACAUGCUCACAUGAGCUUCACACACUAUUGU